This 331-nucleotide ribosomal RNA is filed under the name uncultured bacterium. Its description in RNAcentral is "bacterial SSU rRNA". It matches the Rfam family "Bacterial small subunit ribosomal RNA", at positions 8 to 334 of the family's 1533-position model. The record is from RNAcentral.
AGAGUUUGAUCAUGGCUCAGGAUGAACGCUGGCGGCGUGCCUAAUACAUGCAAGUUGAACGAUUUGUUGCCUUCGGGCAACGAAUAGUAGCGAACGGGUGAGUAACACGUAGGUAACCUGGCCUUUAGAGGGGGAUAACUGUAGGAAACUGCAGCUAAGACCGCAUAAAGAGGACAAGGCAUCUUGUCAAGAAGAAAUAUACUGCAAGGUAUAGCUAAAGGAUGGGCCUGCGGUGCAUUAGCUAGUUGGUGAGAAAAAAGCCCACCAAGGUAAUGAUGCAUAGCCGAUCUGAGAGGAUGACCGGCCACACUGGAACUGAGACACGGUCCAG